AUGCCGGUGACAGUGCUGCGGCUAACUUCGGGCACGCCGAAGCACCCCGGAUGGGUGUUCUUCAAAUGCGAAAAUGAUAGGGAAGACAGAUGCUCAUUUUGGUAUUGGGAAGGCGAAUGCAUUGAUUUAUUGAUAGAAAGAAACUUAAUAGACGUUCGUGCACUCCUUAGUAGAAUCGAAGGCAAUGAAGCGGCUGCAUGUGCAACUAGAGGGGAAGCAACGUCUACUUCUUUAGAACCAAAGAAGAAGAAUGAAGAAUGCAAAAUCAAGAAUUCACAGAUCAACAAUGAAUGCAUGGAGAAGAUAUUGGUCCAAUUAGUGGGAGCAGUUAUGGAAAUUGAAAAUCUUCUAAAAUGCAUAAUUGCGAUUCUUGUUUUCUUUGGUCUUGCUAUUUUAGCAAAGAUUUGGUGA
Molecule: ribosomal RNA, 411 nt
Filed under: Triticum aestivum (bread wheat)
Lineage: Eukaryota; Viridiplantae; Streptophyta; Magnoliopsida; Poales; Poaceae
Description: partial small subunit ribosomal RNA
Source: RNAcentral